RNAcentral lists this transfer RNA (82 nucleotides) under Microbacterium sp. CH12i. It matches the Rfam family "tRNA". From Rfam's summary of the family: Transfer RNA (tRNA) molecules are approximately 80 nucleotides in length. Their secondary structure includes four short double-helical elements and three loops (D, anti-codon, and T loops). The record is from Rfam by way of RNAcentral. Lineage: Bacteria; Bacillati; Actinomycetota; Actinomycetes; Micrococcales; Microbacteriaceae.
GCGGAAGUGGUGGAAUUGGUAGACACGCAGGAUUUAGGUUCCUGUGCCUCAGGGCGUGUGGGUUCAAGUCCCAUCUUCCGCA